CCUACGGGUGGCAGCAGUAGGGAAUAUUGCACAAUGGGCGAAAGCCUGAUGCAGCAACGCCGCGUGCGCGAUGAAGGCCUUCGGGUCGUAAAGCGCUUUUCUGGAGGACGAGCAAGGACGGUACUCCAGGAAUAAGGCUCGGCUAACUACGUGCCAGCAGCCGCGGUAAAACGUAGGAGCCAAGCGUUAUCCGAAUUCACUGGGCGUAAAGCGCGUGCAGGCGGUCUGGUAAGUUGGAUGUGAAAUCUCCUGGCUCAACUGGGAGAGGACGUUCAAUACU
Molecule: ribosomal RNA, 280 nt
Filed under: uncultured bacterium
Lineage: Bacteria
Description: partial 16S ribosomal RNA
Rfam family: Bacterial small subunit ribosomal RNA
Source: RNAcentral